AGAGCGAGACCUGUGUUUUGCUGUGAGCAGCAGGGCUUGUUCCUUCUGACGGAAAUUGGAGGGAGGAAAGUUUUAUUCUGUAAGCUAAACAGGUACAUCAGGUGUACGUGACAGACAGCCGGCUCUGGGUAAGACCCUGGGAGAUAAGCAUUUUCCUCACCAAGACUCAUCUCAUUGCCAUACAAGGAAGAUUUUAUUUUCCUAAAUAUUUUAAAUGAAUAUGAACUACUACUGGUCACGCAAGUUCACAGUAGAAAGAGUAGGAAAGAAGAUCCAGAAUGCAGCAGUCUUCACAAACCCUAUGUGAAAAAUAUACUUUGGACUGAAUAAUUGGGCAGAAGCAACAUGAACUAAUUUUCACUGGAAUGGCUGGAAAUGUAGUUGUGGCACUUCUCAGAACUGCUCUCUUACUGAAAAAAAACUGUUUGGAAUAUGAAGCCUUCCUGUGCUGUGACAGUAAGGUAAUGACUCUUAUACUCUAGAGCUCUUUGGGGCAGAGAGGUUUAUUAGGAAGACAGCACGGCAUCUUGUCUGUGAAGUGUAUGGAUUCUAUAUGAAAACAGCAAUUUAUCUUUACCUUCUAUCAGAAAUGCAAUGAGGCCAACAAAAACAAUUUUAUCUGUAAGUCUACUACGGGUGACACUAAUUAAGAAUGUUAGAUGUGUGAAUUUUGUAAUUCAGGUUGAACUGAUGUGAAAUUCUGAGCAUCAGGGUAAAAUUCCUUAAGUCCUGUAAACAAAAUAUGGAGAAAGAACUAUGCAAGUGAGUGUUUAAGACUGUACUUGCAAAAUGUGUUUAAAAACAUUAGAUGUUCUUACCUAAGAAACAUGUUAGCGUCAUAAUUGUGUAUUUUGAGUAAAAUGGUAUAAUUGUUUCACUAUCAUUAAUUCUCUUUCCAAUUCUUGAUUUUAUGUCCUUAUUUAAUACAUUUUUACAGACUUUUUAUUUGUUUGUUGUUUUUAAGGUAGUUGACCAGUUGAGAGUAAGGAAUCACAGUUUUUUUGGUGGAAUUAAAAUUUGUUUGCUGGAUCUUUCAUAAGAAGGCCAAAGUUGCCCAUGUAAGGAGGGAAAUAAAACUUUUCUUUGUAGUUUCAAUGACAAUGUUCAUGUGCAUUGGUUUUGUUUCCUGGAAAAUCUUACAUUGGCCAGGUAUGGACCUGUUGAUGUUGAGUAAAGUAAUUCUUUUUCAUUAUCCUUUCAUUUUGAGGUGAGGAGAAAAAAAUACAUUUUUAUAGCAUUAAA
Molecule: long non-coding RNA, 1242 nt
Organism: Gallus gallus (chicken)
Lineage: Eukaryota; Metazoa; Chordata; Aves; Galliformes; Phasianidae
Exons: 2
Source: RefSeq, a predicted model, not a curated record